CUCGCUGUGGGAGAUGCUGCUUGCAGAGUCUACGUGGAUUCCCCGUGGAACUCCCGCUCUGCUCAAAGGCUACUCAACUUCCCCGAGACUCCGUUUUCUCAAAUGGAACAUGGAGUAAAAAUAUUUGUAGAGCUGAUAAACUGGCUUGAAGUCAGGCCGUCUCGCUCUUGAUCGCUGCCCGACCCAAGUCCGCUGAAUUCUGGCCAUCGACCUGAAGAAAACGGCGACGCGUGCCAUCGAAGCCCUGUUGGAGUUCUGCUCCGUCAGCGCGGCGGCUUGCAUCCGUAUCUGAAAUGGGGGCGAACUUCCUCGACUGGAAAGGGGGAGACGACGGCUCUCCUGGAUCUGUUUCUUCGGCACAGCAGUGACCAGGGAGCCCUCCUGCCUCCCCCCGCUCCUUGCACUGCCCUUCAGUACAGCGGCUCGCUCCCUGUCCUGCUGUGGUCUCUGGCUGAAAGUUUUCCCAGAUGAACACAAACAAAUCGUUGGAUGAGAUUUCCAGAUUUUGUAAAAACACAGGGAAGAGAAGUCUCCCUUUUUUAGGUUGCGUACUUUUGAAGCCUCAGGGCAGCAGCCCUUGCACGUAGUUCAAAGGAAGCAGAAAGCAGGUGCAGUGACUGCGGGCUAAUAAAAGAGCCCCAGCUGGCCAAGCGCGACGGGGCUAGAGACCAAGUCUGCGGAGGGCAGGCUUCUGGUCUGUGUAGGUGGGCUCCUUUGGGGGAAUCUUCCUCGGGAAGUGGUAAGAGGCUCUUUCCUAGCAGGAAUUGGCCCUCAUAUUGGAAUCGGCCUCAUGCCAUAGUCUUCGUUACAAAGAGUGAGUUUAGGCACAGCACGGCACCUUGGGGCCUGCGGCAGCUAUGGUGAGAGAGAGGGGCCAAAAUAUGUCCUUUCUCCAGCUUGUUGUGCAAACUCACGGAUCCCGAUCAAUGACCAGCUCCCAAUAGGAGGUGACACUAAGAGAAACAAUCGUGGAUCUGCAAACAUACCCCAAGCAGCCCUCUCCCAGUUCAGGCCGCGCAUCCAGAGGAAACGCACCCUUUGUGCAUCGCUCUGGCUAAAACACUGCGCGACGAAGGAGAGGACCCACGCAGGGGCCGACCCGGAACAGGAACAGCUCCGUGCAAGGCGGCGCACAGCACUCCUCGGCGGUCGCGCCCGACAAGAGAGAGUUUACUCACUGUCCUCGAGACUUCACCUGCUCCCGGAGUCGCCGGUGCCGGGCGCCUGCUGCCUGCGAAGCUGGGGUUCUCACAGGGAACCAGCCGCUACAGGCCAGGAAGGUCCCGCUGGUGGGCGGUGCCGGAUGGGCCGUUUCGGUGAGUUCGGGCGCCGCCUGCUGGCCGUUGGGGUGCAGCGACGGAGCCCUGCGUGCUGGGUUUCACUGUGGUCCAGGGAAAGCCUGGAUUUCUCGCUCCCCAGUUGCUCUGUGGAUGGCAGUGGUGAAGCUCCGCUCCAUUUCUGACACUUUACCUCUUAGCAUAUGUCAUCUUCUAUUUUUCCAAUCAUUUCCCAUAUUCACCUAAAUUUGUAGCACGAAUAAGUG
RNAcentral lists this long non-coding RNA (1543 nucleotides) under Ursus thibetanus thibetanus. RNAcentral's name for it is "lncRNA (ENSUTTG00000008716.1)". Lineage: Eukaryota; Metazoa; Chordata; Mammalia; Carnivora; Ursidae. The record is from RNAcentral.